This 253-nucleotide ribosomal RNA is filed under the name uncultured bacterium. RNAcentral describes it as "partial 16S ribosomal RNA". It matches the Rfam family "Bacterial small subunit ribosomal RNA", at positions 524 to 776 of the family's 1533-position model. The record is from RNAcentral.
UACGUAGGGGGCAAGCGUUGUCCGGAAUCAUUGGGCGUAAAGAGCGUGUAGGCGGCCAGAAAAGUCCGCUGUGAAAACUCGAGGCUCAACUUCGAGCUGUCGGUGGAAACUUUCUGGCUAGAGUCCGGAAGAGGAGAAUGGAAUUCCUGGUGUAGCGGUGAAAUGCGCAGAUAUCAGGAAGAACACCCGUGGCGAAGGCGGUUCUCUGGGACGGUACUGACGCUGAGACGCGAAAGCGUGGGUAGCAAACAGG